Molecule: long non-coding RNA, 468 nt
Filed under: Malus domestica (apple)
Lineage: Eukaryota; Viridiplantae; Streptophyta; Magnoliopsida; Rosales; Rosaceae
Description: long non-coding RNA (MDOM_LNC004677)
Source: RNAcentral
AAAAUAAACUCUAAGAGCAUUUCUAAAAGAGAUGUCAAAUUUUAAACAUAAAAGUUAAAUUUGAUUGUUUAUGUGGCAAAUUGACGUUUUGUAUAAUCUUUUGUUUCAAAUGAUAUGUUAAAUACAAAAUAAAUUUUCAUCUACGUUUGAGGUAUAUUUAUUGAACUAAUAAGUAGAAAUACUGAUAGUCACUCAUAUUGUUAUAGUUAGCCCAAAGUUUAAUAUUUGAUGAGCCCAUCUAUUAAAAACCUCAAAAGCUCAAUUUGAAAGCAAUGUCAAAUUAGGCAGCAAGAGCCUAGACUAUUCCACAUCAGAAAUGAAGCAUCAGUUGAAAAAAAAAUUGUUGUUUUUUUUUACCAUUGAAUGUCUACUCGGGACUUUUGACCCUUUUUUUGGAGAUGCUUUAAAAGCUCACUUUUAUUGUUUUUAAGAAAUAGCCUACAUUUUUAAAUUGGUUUUGAAUUCAGU